This 1444-nucleotide ribosomal RNA is filed under the name uncultured organism. RNAcentral describes it as "SSU rRNA". It matches the Rfam family "Bacterial small subunit ribosomal RNA". The record is from RNAcentral.
AGGCUUAACACAUGCAAGUCGAGGGGCAUCAGGAAGAAAGCUUGCUUUCUUUGCUGGCGACCGGCGCACGGGUGAGUAACACGUAUCCAACCUGCCCUUUACUCGGGGAUAGCCUUUCGAAAGAAAGAUUAAUACCCGAUAGCAUAAUGAUUCCGCAUGGUUUCAUUAUUAAAGGAUUCCGGUAAAGGAUGGGGAUGCGUUCCAUUAGGUUGUUGGUGAGGUAACGGCCCACCAAGCCUUCGAUGGAUAGGGGUUCUGAGAGGAAGGUCCCCCACAUUGGAACUGAGACACGGUCCAAACUCCUACGGGAGGCAGCAGUGAGGAAUAUUGGUCAAUGGGCGCUAGCCUGAACCAGCCAAGUAGCGUGAAGGAUGAAGGCUCUAUGGGUCGUAAACUUCUUUUAUAUAAGAAUAAAGUGCAGUAUGUAUACUGUUUUGUAUGUAUUAUAUGAAUAAGGAUCGGCUAACUCCGUGCCAGCAGCCGCGGUAAUACGGAGGAUCCGAGCGUUAUCCGGAUUUAUUGGGUUUAAAGGGAGCGUAGGUGGACUGGUAAGUCAGUUGUGAAAGUUUGCGGCUCAACCGUAAAAUUGCAGUUGAUACUGUCAGUCUUGAGUACAGUAGAGGUGGGCGGAAUUCGUGGUGUAGCGGUGAAAUGCUUAGAUAUCACGAAGAACUCCGAUUGCGAAGGCAGCUCACUGGACUGCAACUGACACUGAUGCUCGAAAGUGUGGGUAUCAAACAGGAUUAGAUACCCUGGUAGUCCACACAGUAAACGAUGAAUACUCGCUGUUUGCGAUAUACAGUAAGCGGCCAAGCGAAAGCAUUAAGUAUUCCACCUGGGGAGUACGCCGGCAACGGUGAAACUCAAAGGAAUUGACGGGGGCCCGCACAAGCGGAGGAACAUGUGGUUUAAUUCGAUGAUACGCGAGGAACCUUACCCGGGCUUAAAUUGCAGUGGAAUGAUGUGGAAACAUGUCAGUGAGCAAUCACCGCUGUGAAGGUGCUGCAUGGUUGUCGUCAGCUCGUGCCGUGAGGUGUCGGCUUAAGUGCCAUAACGAGCGCAACCCUUAUCUUUAGUUACUAACAGGUUAUGCUGAGGACUCUAGAGAGACUGCCGUCGUAAGAUGUGAGGAAGGUGGGGAUGACGUCAAAUCAGCACGGCCCUUACGUCCGGGGCUACACACGUGUUACAAUGGGGGGUACAGAAGGCAGCUAGCGGGUGACCGUAUGCUAAUCCCAAAAUCCUCUCUCAGUUCGGAUCGAAGUCUGCAACCCGACUUCGUGAAGCUGGAUUCGCUAGUAAUCGCGCAUCAGCCACGGCGCGGUGAAUACGUUCCCGGGCCUUGUACACACCGCCCGUCAAGCCAUGGGAGCCGGGGGUACCUGAAGUACGUAACCGCAAGGAUCGUCCUAGGGUAAAACUGGUGACUGGGGCUAAGUCAUAA